CUGGCUCAGGACGAACGCUGGCGGCGUGCUUAACACAUGCAAGUCGAACGGGAAGAAAAGAAAGAGCUUGCUCUUUUUUGGAUUCCAGUGGCAAACGGGUGAGUAACACGUAAACAACCUGCCUUCAGGAUGGGGACAACAGACGGAAACGACUGCUAAUACCG
Molecule: ribosomal RNA, 164 nt
Filed under: Dialister histaminiformans
Lineage: Bacteria; Bacillati; Bacillota; Negativicutes; Veillonellales; Veillonellaceae
Description: Allisonella histaminiformans 16S rRNA. Bacterial SSU
Rfam family: Bacterial small subunit ribosomal RNA
Source: RNAcentral